GGGGAUAUAUCUCAGUUGGUAGAGUGUUUGCCUCACAUGCACAAGGCCCUGGGUUCAAUCCCCAUCACCACCA
This 73-nucleotide transfer RNA is filed under the name Ictidomys tridecemlineatus (thirteen-lined ground squirrel). Its description in RNAcentral is "Spermophilus tridecemlineatus (thirteen-lined ground squirrel) tRNA". It matches the Rfam family "tRNA". Rfam says of the family: Transfer RNA (tRNA) molecules are approximately 80 nucleotides in length. Their secondary structure includes four short double-helical elements and three loops (D, anti-codon, and T loops). The record is from Rfam by way of RNAcentral. Lineage: Eukaryota; Metazoa; Chordata; Mammalia; Rodentia; Sciuridae.